This 427-nucleotide ribosomal RNA is filed under the name uncultured bacterium. Its description in RNAcentral is "bacterial SSU rRNA". It matches the Rfam family "Bacterial small subunit ribosomal RNA", at positions 355 to 774 of the family's 1533-position model. The record is from RNAcentral.
UGGGGAAUUUUGGACAAUGGGGGCAACCCUGAUCCAGCCAUCCCGCGUGUGCGAUGAAGGCCUUCGGGUUGUAAAGCACCUUUGGCAGGGAAGAAACAGCCUGGGCUAAUAUCCCGGGCGACUGACGGUACCUGCAGAAUAAGCACCGGCUAACUACGUGCCAGCAGCCGCGGUAAUACGUAGGGUGCAAGCGUUAAUCGGAAUUACUGGGCGUAAAGCGUGCGCAGGCGGUUCGGAAAGAAAGGUGUGAAAUCCCAGGGCUUAACCUUGGAACUGCACUUUUAACUACCGGGCUAGAGUACGUCAGAGGGGGGUAGAAUUCCACGUGUAGCAGUGAAAUGCGUAGAGAUGUGGAGGAAUACCGAUGGCGAAGGCAGCCCCCUGGGAUGAUACUGACGCUCAUGCACGAAAGCGUGGGGAGCAAACA